GCCUCCGUGGCGCAGUUGGUAGCGUGAUGGCCCCGCAAGGCCAAAGGUCGCAGGUUCGAGUCCUGCCGGAGGUG
This 74-nucleotide transfer RNA is filed under the name Leguminivora glycinivorella. Its description in RNAcentral is "tRNA-Ala". It matches the Rfam family "tRNA". Rfam says of the family: Transfer RNA (tRNA) molecules are approximately 80 nucleotides in length. Their secondary structure includes four short double-helical elements and three loops (D, anti-codon, and T loops). Further hydrogen bonds mediate the characteristic L-shaped molecular structure. tRNAs have two regions of fundamental functional importance: the anti-codon, which is responsible for specific mRNA codon recognition, and the 3' end, to which the tRNAs corresponding amino acid is attached (by aminoacyl-tRNA synthetases). tRNAs cope with the degeneracy of the genetic code in two manners: having more than one tRNA (with a specific anti-codon) for a particular amino acid; and 'wobble' base-pairing, i.e. permitting non-standard base-pairing at the 3rd anti-codon position. The record is from RNAcentral. Lineage: Eukaryota; Metazoa; Arthropoda; Insecta; Lepidoptera; Tortricidae.